This 531-nucleotide ribosomal RNA is filed under the name Kodamaea ohmeri. RNAcentral describes it as "eukaryotic LSU rRNA". It matches the Rfam family "Eukaryotic large subunit ribosomal RNA", at positions 37 to 660 of the family's 3401-position model. Lineage: Eukaryota; Fungi; Ascomycota; Pichiomycetes; Serinales; Debaryomycetaceae. The record is from RNAcentral.
UGCAUAUCAAAUAAGCGGAGGAAAAGAAACCAACAGGGAUUGCCUCAGUAACGGCGAGUGAAGCGGCAAAAGCUCAAAUUUGAAAUCCCCCCGGGGAGUUGUAAUUUGAAGAUUGCGUCUUGGAGGCGACCGUGUCUAUGUUCCUUGGAACAGGACGUCACAGAGGGUGAGAAUCCCGUGCGGCACGGCCCCCGGCUCCUUAUAAGGCGCUCUCGACGAGUCGAGUUGUUUGGGAAUGCAGCUCAAAGUGGGUGGUAAAUUCCAUCUAAAGCUAAAUACAGGCGAGAGACCGAUAGCGAACAAGUACAGUGAUGGAAAGAUGAAAAGCACUUUGAAAAGAGAGUGAAACAGCACGUGAAAUUGUUGAAAGGGAAGGGCAUGCCGUCAGAUUGUCAGUGUGGGUAAGAAGCGGGGUACAAAGACUGUGGAACGUGGCCCUCGGGUGUUAUAGCCGCAGUUCAUGCCCCGUCUCUUUCCGAGGCCUGCUUUGAGGACACCGACGUAAUGACGGUACGCCGCCCGUCUUGAAAC